This is a long non-coding RNA of Prionailurus viverrinus (fishing cat), 155 nucleotides long. RefSeq lists it as uncharacterized. The transcript has 3 exons. The record is from RefSeq and is a predicted model, not a curated record. NCBI's taxonomy places the organism in Eukaryota, Metazoa, Chordata, Mammalia, Carnivora, Felidae.
UGUCAGUGACCCCAAAUGCACCGAGUGACAUAUUUUACGCAGAAGCAGGCUGCACGUAAGUGGCAGGACUGGACGUCUGUUCUGGAGAUCAGUACAGAGCCCGUCUACACUUACGAGGUGACGACACCCAUCUCCGAGGCCACGAGUCAGCCUAU